This 506-nucleotide ribosomal RNA is filed under the name uncultured bacterium. RNAcentral describes it as "partial 16S ribosomal RNA". It matches the Rfam family "Bacterial small subunit ribosomal RNA", at positions 29 to 523 of the family's 1533-position model. The record is from RNAcentral.
AGUGAACGCUGGCGGUAGGCCUAACACAUGCAAGUCGAACGGCAGCACAGGAGAGCUUGCUCUCUGGGUGGCGAGUGGCGGACGGGUGAGGAAUACAUCGGAAUCUACUCUGUCGUGGGGGAUAACGUAGGGAAACUUACGCUAAUACCGCAUACGACCUACGGGUGAAAGCAGGGGAUCUUCGGACCUUGCGCGAUUGAAUGAGCCGAAGUGGGAUUAGCUAGUUGGCGGGGUAAAGGCCCACCAAGGCGACGAUCCGUAGCUGGUCUGAGAGGAAGAGCGGCCACACGUGGACUGAGACACGGUCCAGACUCCUACGGGAGGCAGCAGUGGGGAAUAUUGGACAAUGGGCGAAAGCCUGAUCCUGCCAUACCGCGUGGGUGAAGAAGGCCUUCGGGUUGUAAAGCCCUUUUGUUGGGAAAGAAAUCCAGCUGGCUAAUACCCGGUUGGGAUGACGGUACCCAAAGAAUAAGCACCGGCUAACUUCGUGCCAGCCGCCGCCGUAA